GAUGAACGCUGGCGGCGUGCCUAAUACAUGCAAGUCGAGCGAACAGACGAGGAGCUUGCUCCUCUGACGUUAGCGGCGGACGGGUGAGUAACACGUGGAUAACCUACCUAUAAGACUGGGAUAACUUCGGGAAACCGGAGCUAAUACCGGAUAAUAUAUUGAACCGCAUGGUUCAAUAGUGAAAGACGGUUUUGCUGUCACUUAUAGAUGGAUCCGCGCCGCAUUAGCUAGUUGGUAAGGUAACGGCUUACCAAGGCAACGAUGCGUAGCCGACCUGAGAGGGUGAUCGGCCACACUGGAACUGAGACACGGUCCAGACUCCUACGGGAGGCAGCAGCAGGGAAUCUUCCGCAAUGGGCGAAAGCCUGACGGAGCAACGCCGCGUGAGUGAUGAAGGUCUUCGGAUCGUAAAACUCUGUUAUUAGGGAAGAACAAAUGUGUAAGUAACUAUGCACGUCUUGACGGUACCUAAGCAGAAAGCCACGGCUAACUACGU
RNAcentral lists this ribosomal RNA (496 nucleotides) under uncultured bacterium. RNAcentral's name for it is "partial 16S ribosomal RNA". It matches the Rfam family "Bacterial small subunit ribosomal RNA", at positions 28 to 506 of the family's 1533-position model. The record is from RNAcentral.